AUGGAAGGCCGGAAGGAAUAUGAUCGUGGCUCAGAAGACAGAGUCAUAAGAUUGCUGGGUGAGCUGGAUUCGAAGAACCUACAUGAAGCGGACAAGCUGCCACUCAAAACAGAGGAUCCAGCGUGGCCCUUGGAUAAAGACAUCCCGGAAACAUUUGAUGCGCGAAAAAAGUGGGGCAAAAUCUGCCCCCAAAUAUCCGAAAUUUAUGAUCAAGGAUUCUGCGGCUCUUGUUGGGCUGUGUCCUCCAUGUCAGCGGCUUCAGAUCGUGAGUGCAUAAGCUCCAAAGGAAAAUUUAAGGAUUGCUUUCUGCUCAGUAUGUAACGUCUUGCUGUGAAGACUGCGGUCUAGGUUGUGAUGGAGGGUAACGUACAAGGCACACUCAUUUUUUCAUUAAAUUAUUUCUGCGUCGAAGAUAUUUACUCACAUGAAAAAAGAACAAUUAUAAAUAGAGAGAAGAUGGGAUGAUUCCGGCAUUAUCCGGGCAGACACGCAGCCGUGAGUUGGUUUAGUGGUCGGCUCGACCUCGGUCCCCGAUCUCCCUAGCUAGCUCCUGAUCAGAACAACUUUCUAAAUUAGAGCCUAAACCAACAUAUGAUAGUUUAACCAUCUAGAUGACCAUCUGGCCGAAACCCACCCCAUGUUGGGGUGGUAGUGCGAAACGGAUGGAAAUCGAAACCCCCGACUUUGUUCACACAGCCGGCGGAACAAGAUGCUUAAAUUGUCAUAUCUUCGAUAAGAUUCGCCACUUUUUCUCCCGGAAGACUACAAAAAAAAAAAAAACAAGAAGAAACAUCCAACAUGAAUAUGUUGGAAAAGCGUGCCGAAGAACUGAAAUCUGGUGUGUGCACUAUUUCCAUUUCAACGAGAUGUGUAUAAAUUAGUACUCUCUGCAAAUUGGGAGGAAUUAUUGAUUUGAUACCGUUGAAUGUAAAUACAUUUUAUUGAAUAAAGAAAGUAACAUAAUUAUAUUGGAUGAACAAAGAAAACAAGCUGGUUUUGCGAUCGCAGUGCGAUAGCAAUACUCGGCAUGGGAACUUGAAAAAUGUUUGAUAAAUCACUUAGCAUUGGGUAUACCAUUUUUAUGAUGGAUACCUAUUGGGAUCUGCUUUUGAUUUAGCAAAAGUCAAACAUUUACCUAUGGCUGAUAAAAUUGCAGAAGUUGUUCCUUUCCUGCGGCAUGACGGCGAGUUUUUUAUUUUCUUCUGUCAUUUAUUUUCUUCUGUUAUUUAUUUUUUCUAUUUUUCCAAGCGACAUUGAUUUACUGUUCCAAUGUGAUGAUCAGAUGAUACCACUUUAUUGUCAAAGCAAAAACGCGAGGAACCUCUGAGGGAAGACAAACGGCUGUACUGGCAGUAUUUUUAAUUAUUUGUCUUAAUUUUUAAUUACUAGUAUUGCUGUAUCGACUUUGCAUGUACAUUGUCAUUCAAAGUUUGUUGAACUGUUUUCCCUCUGACGCUAUUUUCAGGAAGCCAUUAUUUUUUUUCAUUUUGAAAGAAAUCUGGGCCUUAUCAUAAAGUAUUUGAAUUUUCUUGUCUUUCUUUCUUUCCUUUUUCAUUUUUCGUAUUUAAUUUUUUCGGAUGUGUAUUUGUGUCGAUUAGUAUUUAGCUGAAAUAAGUUCUAGCUAUAUGUGUAAACUUUUUCAUUUGAACUACUUUUCUUCGAGUCAAUACGGCGAUGCCCUGUGUCAUUUGCUUCCAACUUUUUCUUCUUUAUCUCUUUUAUGAGCCAAAGGAUGUAAAGUAAUGCGCUGUUUUUAUUCUUUGGUUUUUCUCAUUCUAACCCACUGUCCAAACGCGGCCACAAAACUUAGACACUUUUUAUUUAAAGUAGCUAAACAACGCCCCUUCAUAACGCCGAGUUCAUACAACUAUUUGUGCUGGUUGGAUGUCCAUGUGGGAUCUGCAAAAUUGAAGGGUGUAUGUUGUGAUGUAAAGUCUAACCAACAAAUUUCAUCUUAAGUAGGUAUUUUACACAUGCUGAUCAUAGUUGAACUUCCAAAUAAUAAAAACCAAAAGCAACAAAGGGAGGAAAAUUACAAAAGAUAACUACGACGUGUUAUUUUCUUUUAAAUGAGGAAAAACAAGAUGAUAGAUCCAACAUGAAGAUGUUGGAAAAGGGUGAAGAAUAAGUGAAAUGUUGGAUGUGUGCUAUACUACUUUCAUGUCGUUGCUAUAUUUUUUUAGCGGGGGGGGGGGCGUAAGAAUUGUUAUUUUUUGCUAAAUUUUGGAGAAAAUAUCGCUUUAAGAACGUUGAAUGUAAAAUAAUUUGAUUGCAUAAAGAAAAUAACAUCAUUAAUUUGGGUGAACACAGAAAGUUACAUCAUUAUUUGGGUUGACAUCUCCCUGAUUGUAUGAAGGAUGAAUAUUUUAGUAUUUUUGUUUCAAAAAACUUAACUUUUUUCUUCAGAGAUACAAUGAUUCUAGUCCAAGUCAAUUUGUUUUAUUGAACAAUUAAAAACAAAAAAAACAACUGAAAUGUUAGACAUACUAUUUUCAUGUCUUUCUAUUUGUAUCAAUAGGUACACUGGAAAAAAAUACACAUUGUAUGUAGAGUCCAGACUCUUGAAAACAUUGACAAAAAAAAAUACUCUUCAUUCAAUCAGAUUUAAGCUUAA
RNAcentral lists this long non-coding RNA (2614 nucleotides) under Bemisia tabaci. RNAcentral's name for it is "lncRNA ENSSSA1NGG007879". The record is from RNAcentral. Lineage: Eukaryota; Metazoa; Arthropoda; Insecta; Hemiptera; Aleyrodidae.